RNAcentral lists this transfer-messenger RNA (364 nucleotides) under Thermoflavimicrobium daqui. Its description in RNAcentral is "Standard tmRNA". It matches the Rfam family "transfer-messenger RNA". Rfam says of the family: Bacterial tmRNA, also known as 10Sa RNA or SsrA, is named for its dual tRNA and mRNA-like properties. Its role is to liberate the mRNA from a stalled ribosome. The record is from Rfam by way of RNAcentral. Lineage: Bacteria; Bacillati; Bacillota; Bacilli; Caryophanales; Thermoactinomycetaceae.
GGGGGCGUUUUUGGGAUUCGACGGGGAUAGUUCGAGCGUUAGUAGCGAGCCGAGGGGCUGCGCUUCUCGUUAAACACGCAGAGCCAAAAUGUAACUGGCAAACAAGAAAACUACGCUCUAGCUGCCUAAUAAAUCAGCUAGGACUCACUUCUCCAUCGCCUAUGUGGAGCUGCUGGGUCUCAAAUUCUAGUAGGCUAGCCGACUAGUCCGCCACAGACUAGAAGGCGAAAUAUUUGUGGCUGGCCUGAGAAAUCGCCUGUCACUGGGCAGUUUCGAGGGUGAGAUUUGAAUACAGUGACUGCGCUCGGAGAAUCUGGCGUGGCGAUAUCUUCGGACAGCGGUUCGACUCCGCUCGCCUCCACCA